GGGGUGGUGGUCUAAUCUGGUAUGAUCCUUGGUUCGGGGCCGAGAGAUUGCCGGUUCAAAUCCGGCCCAUCCCA
RNAcentral lists this transfer RNA (74 nucleotides) under Candidatus Woesearchaeota archaeon. RNAcentral describes it as "tRNA-Pro". It matches the Rfam family "tRNA". From Rfam's summary of the family: Transfer RNA (tRNA) molecules are approximately 80 nucleotides in length. Their secondary structure includes four short double-helical elements and three loops (D, anti-codon, and T loops). Further hydrogen bonds mediate the characteristic L-shaped molecular structure. tRNAs have two regions of fundamental functional importance: the anti-codon, which is responsible for specific mRNA codon recognition, and the 3' end, to which the tRNAs corresponding amino acid is attached (by aminoacyl-tRNA synthetases). tRNAs cope with the degeneracy of the genetic code in two manners: having more than one tRNA (with a specific anti-codon) for a particular amino acid; and 'wobble' base-pairing, i.e. permitting non-standard base-pairing at the 3rd anti-codon position. Lineage: Archaea; Nanobdellati; Candidatus Woesearchaeota. The record is from RNAcentral.